AUACGUAGGUGACAAGCGUUAUCCGGAUUUACUGGGCGUAAAGGGCGUGUAGGCGGUCUUGCAAGUCAGAAGUGAAAUUCCUGAGCUCAACUCGGGCGCUGCUUCUGAAACUGCAGGACUUGAGUGCUGGAGGGGAUAGCGGAAUUCCUAGUGGAGCGGUAAAAUGCGCAGAUAUUAGGAAGAACACCGGUGGCGAAGGCGGCAAUCUGGACAGUAACGGACGCUGAGGCGCAAAAGCGUGGGGAGAAAAAAGGAUUAGAUACCCUGGUAGUCCACGCUGUAAACGAUGAAUACUAGGUGUAGGGGGUAUCGACUCCCUCUGUGCCGCAGUUAACACAAUAAGUAUUCCGCCUGGGGAGUACGGCCGCAAGGUUGAAACUCAAAUGAAUUGACGGGG
RNAcentral lists this ribosomal RNA (397 nucleotides) under uncultured bacterium. Its description in RNAcentral is "partial 16S ribosomal RNA". It matches the Rfam family "Bacterial small subunit ribosomal RNA", at positions 523 to 918 of the family's 1533-position model. The record is from RNAcentral.